Misgurnus anguillicaudatus (oriental weatherfish) is the source of this 2183-nucleotide long non-coding RNA. RefSeq lists it as uncharacterized. The record is from RefSeq and is a predicted model, not a curated record. Lineage: Eukaryota; Metazoa; Chordata; Actinopteri; Cypriniformes; Cobitidae.
GCCAAGAAUGGGUUGUAAAAUUAGAGAUGUAUUUGUUGCCCCUGAAAUACAUUUUAAAAAUAUAUUUUAAUAUAUGAAGGUUAAAACUAAAUAUAUUUUCAAAUUAAAAAUAUAUUUAAUUAAGCUUUACUUCCUAAAAAAUUUAUUUAGCAUGUAUUCAAAACAAAUUUUUGGCCAAAAAAUGCCCUAUGGGCAACUACUCGUAUGACGCAUAUGACGUAAUUAAAUCAGAAACAAUGAGAUUAAUGUAAAACAUUUUAUAUUUAAACACGGGUAAAUACUAUUGACUUAAAAGUCUUUUAGCUACGCAUUUAUAUUAAAUUGCGUGCUGUGCGCAUGCGCAAAAGAAAUGUUGACCACAAGCAGGAGAAGUCAGCGGCAUUAUUACUGCAAUCAGUUUAAUUUAAACAGGGACAAACUACACAACAUUACCGUUGUGUGUGAUCAUGGGCGCUCUCUUCAGCGCUCCUGGCGGUUAUAUGCUGGUACUGCAGACAGACUGAGACUGAAUGUCAAAGUUGAAGGUCAUAUGGUCUGGCAGGUGGGCGGGGUCUGGGAGAAGAUCGCUGCAGUUAGCAACAUGACCCAACUUCAAAUGAUCCAAUCAGAUCUCAUUGGACAAAUACAAAUCCAGCCCUGCCUUAUUUUAUUUCAAAAGCCGGUUUCACUCGGAUAUACGUCACCACGGAGAAAAUGAGAGUUCAAGGACUCAUCGCAAUGUGAUGACCGCAAGAAGAAAACAGAAACUACACAUCAAUCAUGAUGACCCGUGGGGCUAAGCAUCCAGAAAUCACAUCCAAUCCUACAGUGACCCACAUAUUCAGCACAGAGAUAGGUCGAAGGUCAGACCACACAUACCCUUCUAGAUUCUAUUGGCCUAAAUACAGCUGAAAUAUAUAAAAUAUAUUAAAUGAGUAUCGAUAGCAGACAAACAGAUGAAACGAGCCAGACAGACAUCAUCCCACCAUCAUUCGCACCCCUUAGCCGCCCAUCAGACAGAUGGAAGAAGGUCAAGUGUCUGCGUGUGGUAAGAAUGAAGCGCAUACACACACUCCAGAUGUUAACAAAACUUUGAGAUUUGUCAAACUAAUGAUUCAAUGACAUUAUUACUUUUGGAAAGAACAAACUUGUUUAAAGCCACAAACAUUAUCAUUUUUUAAAAGUUGAUCACAUGCAAAAUUCUGGGAAUUUUCAAUGCUGGAAACUUUCCAUGGGAAUUAACAUUCAUAUUAGAAUGAUUUCUGAAGUGUUUUUGAUCAAAUAAAUCCAGGUUUGAUGAGCAUAAGUAUCAGGAUUCUUCAAAAUUUGUUUUACCUUGCAUACAUGUCUGCUUAUGACCGAACAAAAUGUUAAUAUAUGAGUUUGGUUCCAAAACUGGAUUUAAAGGCUUAAAUCAAAACAAACUAACUGCAGUCGAGUUAUAUGGUUUUUGAACCAAACUCUUCAUAUGUUUGUUUAUGAUGAAGUUUUUAUAAAUUUCCCUAAAUUUCCAAAUAAUUCCCAUGAAGUUUUAAAUUUGGAAUCAUUCUGGAAACUUUCCACCCUUUUGCAACCCUAAUUCCAUGUGAUUUAUCUGAUGAAGUGAUGCAGGUUACAAACAAACUCUUAUCUACUGAUGUCAACAGAGUAUGAGACUAAUGCCUAAUCUCUUUGUGUCUGUCACAGAUGAAUGAAGUGAUGAUAAAUGCCAACACCUGUCCAAUACGCAUGAUGUGAGAAAGAGGAAGACAGAUACAUCAACAGUUGAAGAGUGCAAAACCCUUUAAGUGCAUCUGACAUGUUUUCUUGUAAAUUAGCUUUUUUUAGACUCUUAAUGAAUUCUGUCAACAAACCAGCAUUUCUGAAAUGCCUGAGGCCAGGAUUAAGCGGAUUUGACGCGAAAGUAUUUGAUAAACGAAUAAUAUGUGCUAAGCAGCAUAUUGGGUUAAUAUCAUUAUGUCAUUUUUGACAGAGAUGCCAUUUGGCAGCUUUUGCAUUAGAGCUCCUCAUAUGAUACAUGAAACAAUGAUGAUGCAUGACAACAGCUGCUGGAUCUAAUGAUUAUGACUUUAUACAAAACACUGACAUCAUCAAAUACAGCACAAAAAAAGUGGUCUCAAAUGAUGCCAAACUCCCAGAAUUCACAUUGGUUUGCAGCACCCAGAAUUACAUGGUGUGGAUGAGAGGAGCAUGUAAUAAAUCUG